RNAcentral lists this ribosomal RNA (451 nucleotides) under uncultured bacterium. RNAcentral's name for it is "bacterial SSU rRNA". It matches the Rfam family "Bacterial small subunit ribosomal RNA", at positions 354 to 796 of the family's 1533-position model. The record is from RNAcentral.
GUGGGGAAUCUUGCGCAAUGGGCGAAAGCCUGACGCAGCCAUGCCGCGUGUGUGAAGAAGGCCUUUUGGUUGUAAAGCACUUUAAGCGAGGAGGAGGCUACCGAGAUUAAUACUCUUGGAUAGUGGACGUUACUCGCAGAAUAAGCACCGGCUAACUCUGUGCCAGCAGCCGCGGUAAUACAGAGGGUGCAAGCGUUAAUCGGAUUUACUGGGCGUAAAGCGCGCGUAGGUGGCCAAUUAAGUCAAAUGUGAAAUCCCCGAGCUUAACUUGGGAAUUGCAUUCGAUACUGGUUGGCUAGAGUAUGGGAGAGGAUGGUAGAAUUCCAGGUGUAGCGGUGAAAUGCGUAGAGAUCUGGAGGAAUACCGAUGGCGAAGGCAGCCAUCUGGCCUAAUACUGACACUGAGGUGCGAAAGCAUGGGGAGCAAACAGGAUUAGAUACCCGGGUAGUCC